RNAcentral lists this ribosomal RNA (495 nucleotides) under uncultured bacterium. RNAcentral's name for it is "partial 16S ribosomal RNA". It matches the Rfam family "Bacterial small subunit ribosomal RNA", at positions 28 to 507 of the family's 1533-position model. The record is from RNAcentral.
GACGAACGCUGGCGGCGUGCCUAAUACAUGCAAGUAGAACGCUGAAGGAGGAGCUUGCUUCUCUGGAUGAGUUGCGAACGGGUGAGUAACGCGUAGGUAACCUGCCUGGUAGCGGGGGAUAACUAUUGGAAACGAUAGCUAAUACCGCAUAAGAGUAGAUGUUGCAUGACAUUUGCUUAAAAGGUGCAAUUGCAUCACUACCAGAUGGACCUGCGUUGUAUUAGCUAGUUGGUGGGGUAACGGCUCACCAAGGCGACGAUACAUAGCCGACCUGAGAGGGUGAUCGGCCACACUGGGACUGAGACACGGCCCAGACUCCUACGGGAGGCAGCAGUAGGGAAUCUUCGGCAAUGGACGGAAGUCUGACCGAGCAACGCCGCGUGAGUGAAGAAGGUUUUCGGAUCGUAAAGCUCUGUUGUAAGAGAAGAACGAGUGUGAGAGUGGAAAGUUCACACUGUGACGGUAUCUGACCAGAAAGGGGCGGCUAACUACGUG